UCUAUUUUGUUCACCACCUAGAAAGUUUUAUCAAGCAUUGAAAUGUUUCUGUACUUAGCUUUUAAAAGUAUCCAAAUUUAUGGUGUAACUUGUAAUCUCAUGUAUUGUUUUUUAAAUAUUCUUUUACAUUUCAAGUAGGUGUUGCUUAUGAACAUUUGACUAUUUUUGUUGUUGUCUUGUUAACUGUCGUCAGAAUGUUUUAUCUUCACUUGGGCAGCCAUUUUGAACGAACUUUUUUUUUUUUAAAUAUUGGCCUUAAUAUUAGUCAAAUAUUUUAUGGACAUUGUGCUUUAAACCUUUGUAAGACUUAAUCAUAAUUUGUAUCUUAUUACAACAAUAGUUAAUAUUCAGUAUUAGCUCAACUUUUUUUUUUUUCAAUUGUCUUUUAAAAAAAAUGUUUUUCACACUUACUGUUGUCAUUACAAGAUUUUAGCAUAUCAUUAUUGCAAGUAAAAUCCUAUUAUCUGCAGAGUAUCUUUGAAGCCAUACCAGUAUCUAAUUUUUAUGGUCAUUGGCAUUUUCUUGGUGUUUUAUUAUAAAAGUUGCUUGCUAUAUACAUCAGUGUUGUCUCUUUUCAGAAAAGAUUUCGUUGGACUUAUUGGUGUUUGACCUUUCAUGAGUCAUAAUUUUUUUUUUCUACAUCUGAAAAUAUGAAUAAUUUUGUCCAUAUUUACAUAUAAUGUGUACUUAACCGUAUGAUAUUUUAUAUCCAUGUGCAAUGUAAUAUUUUUCAACAUAUUUAAAUAUCUUUGUUGAAUGGUUUCAUGUUUAAAUUAAUAUUUUUUUUCUCAAGCUAUUAAAGAAUAACAUGCCAUUAAGCAAUAUAAUUUCUGUUUUAGAUUAUG
Molecule: non-coding RNA, 845 nt
Organism: Biomphalaria pfeifferi
Lineage: Eukaryota; Metazoa; Mollusca; Gastropoda; Planorbidae
Source: the annotation of a GenBank genome assembly